Oreochromis aureus is the source of this 1026-nucleotide long non-coding RNA. NCBI's taxonomy places the organism in Eukaryota, Metazoa, Chordata, Actinopteri, Cichliformes, Cichlidae. The record is from Ensembl.
AUUAUUCAACAAUGCUAGCAACAAGCCCCCAACACAUUGCAUAUGCUAACCGCUAAUCUAACUAACGAAUUAACAACAGAGUGAUUUUAGAACUAUAAGAUGAUAAGCUGUGUGUCUUUUUCAUAACAGUGACAUGGUUGUAUUUACCUUAAUUGAACAAGUCGUCAGUCGCGGUAAACCCAUCAGCAAAUAAACUGGAGCAGCCGGGCUACGUAAAAAGUGUAGGGGGGGCGUCUUUGUGUCCAGCGGGUGUGUGGGCGGGAGUGUUGCACAGUCGCUCCACCUCAAGUCACUACUGCGCAGACUCUGGCUCCAAAUUUGCAAGAUGGCAGCCUCCACAAGCGGGAUAUUUUGGCUUCAUUUUUGCACAAUGGGAGGAGGCGCUGUCGCGUCGUCCAUGUUUUCUACAGUCAUUGGUCAACAUAUCAAAAAAAUGAUAUGGCAACAUGUUGUUUAGGAAAACGAGGAAGUUUUAGGAGUGAUGACAGCGAGAGAGAGAGAGAGAGAGAGAGAGAGUUUUGAUAUGUGAGAGAUUUGUGACACUUCGAGUGUUUAGAGUGUGUUUUUGGUGUGUAGUGUAGUCGAUAGUUGUGUUGUUUGUGUGAAAACAAAGGGGUGACUGCUGAAUGCAGCAGUUGCUGCCUCUAGUGAAUGUUGUUCAGCAUGUUUAUCUGGCCUUAAAAUCGUUUUUCCACUCACAGGAAAAUCAAGUCCUGCAGCUGAUGCAGCAGUUUAUUCUGAAGUCACAUUAGGAAGCUUUCCUGGUCAGUGAGGAGAGCUGCAGCAGCAAAGCCAAGAAGAAGCAUUUUAUGAAUCCACUGUUGCUGCUCUGCUGCCCAAAUAUCAGACACACUCACUUUUUUGUCACUUUUGUUAAGAUGCCAUUAAAUAAUAAUAUGACAUAGAUAUAGUAUCGGUGGUGUCCUGUGACUUGUACAGUAAUGCAAGCAGAGACGAUGUUUGUAGUCUCUGUGAGGACCAGCUUUCUAUGAAAACUAUAAUUAAACUAAAAAAAGUUGUUUAUAA